Molecule: long non-coding RNA, 1025 nt
Filed under: Canis lupus familiaris (dog)
Lineage: Eukaryota; Metazoa; Chordata; Mammalia; Carnivora; Canidae
Description: lncRNA (ENSCAFG00000055126.1)
Source: RNAcentral
UUAUUAGAGAAGGGAUUUCAAGUUCUCUCAAGGCUCUCAGGACUGGAGCUAAGGUUUAAGGGAGGCUUAUUUCAACACGGGAAAUAAAAUAUAACAAGGCCCCACCCCACCCCAUGCCAAAGACCCUGUUGGCUUUCUGGUCAAAGCAGCCUUGAUCGGUUUGAUUAGGUUUUUUUUUAGGGCUGCUUCUUGAGGAGGCUAAACGCCUGCCCAGGAGUUCCCACAGAUGCAGCGCCAAGCUAAUGGUAAACCCAGACAGCGGGCGAAGCCCCCCUCCCCACGCUCCGCAGGCUGCUCUCCAGCCCUCCCCCCUUCCUUCCCGAGGGGCUCGGCCUGCUUGGACACAGCCUCCCCACGAGACACUUGCUGCCCUACGGCCUGGCCGGUUCCUUCAGGGCCUGGAUCUCUGCGGUCCGAACAGAAGGGAUUAACUCACUUGGCUCUGGGACGUGCACUGGGGAUGUCCAGGGGAGGAUGAGGAUGGAGAUUCCAAAGAGUUUCAGAGUAAGACGAGCACCCACCCCGACCACAAGCUAUCAGUAGCUUUAUACAAACAGGGAGUUAUCCGAGGUUCCCCAUCUUCACGUGCUACUCUCCAGGAAAGCAGCGAGCUCUUUUAAUAUAAAGUCACAUCAACCAGAUAAAACCCGUCAACGCUACAUCAUUUAGAAUAUGUACAGUUCCAAACAUGUUACAACUUAAAGGAAAAUAAAACAUACUUUUCAAUAGGAUACAAAAACAUGCAUCUCAAAGCCAUUACUUUAAAAACAAAACGCAACAAAAAACAGAGCAACACAGGUGAAACCCAAAACCAUGAAGUCAAGGCCCUGGCACUAGGGCAUCCGGAGGGAGGCCUCUGGGACGUGGUCGGCCCCACACGGACGCACUGGUCUUCGCAGACUCGCUCCAGGGAAGCCAAACCCAGAAGGAAAUGCUUUUGCAAAAGCCCACACUCCAGGAGGGAGGAGACACGGCGAGUUGGCGGACAUCCUUACGGCCCCUGUCACCAGACUACGUGUGCGCAG